Small nucleolar RNA from Tachyglossus aculeatus (Australian echidna), 138 nucleotides. The record is from RefSeq and is a predicted model, not a curated record. NCBI's taxonomy places the organism in Eukaryota, Metazoa, Chordata, Mammalia, Monotremata, Tachyglossidae.
UCCCUCCCGGGGUCAUGCCCGGAGAGUUUCCCGUGCUCUACCAGUCUCGACUACCGGAGGGAGAGUCAAGCAGAGGCCUGCCCAUUCCAUUCCUAGCUUGGCCAGUGGCUAGCGAGUGGAAGGCCAUCUGCUACGAGC